Molecule: long non-coding RNA, 627 nt
Filed under: Triticum aestivum (bread wheat)
Lineage: Eukaryota; Viridiplantae; Streptophyta; Magnoliopsida; Poales; Poaceae
Description: long non-coding RNA (TAES_LNC011230)
Source: RNAcentral
GGGCCGUAUAGGUCAUACAUAGGUCUAAUUAACAAAUCACAGAAAGGAGAGGAGGAAGCUGAGCAACACUCCUUUUUCUAUUUGGAACCUGCACCAUUUAUUGGGUAUGUAGGAAAUUAUUCUUUGCCUCUAUUGGUUGUACCUUAUUCUUUUUUUUUUUUAGCAUCAGUAUAGACAUAAGCGCUCAUAUACAUGCGCAUACACUCAUCCCUAUGAACGCACACACGCACACCCUACCCCUAUGAGCACCUCCGAGAGACUGAGCCGGCAUAUCAUCUUGAGAUUUACGAAGUCACUGUAGGCGCCUCGUCGUCGACGGGAACGUCUCCUCCCACUGAAAGCGCAUCGCCGGAAAUCCUGAAAUAAAUCCAGGAAUAAUGCGAACACCAGGAUUUGAACCUUGGUGGGUUGGGGAUACCACUGUCCACCUAACCAACUCAACCACAGGUUGUACCUUAUUCUGUAUUGUACUGCCAGUACCAUGGCAUACCAAUUGUUUGGAUAGAUCAAAAGGCAAGCUAAAGAUCAAUUAGAUAAAUGCUAUUGUACUCCCACAUCUCACAUCUCAUUUAGCUUUAUACAUACCUUGUAUCAGCAUUUCUUGAAAACACAUUUAUGCAGUCACAC